AUGGAGGGGUCGUCCACUAUGAUGGUGCGGGAGGUGCUGUACAUGUACUUCGUCGCACGGCAGGCAUACGACCGGUUCAUCUCCGUGUGCGGCAACCCAGAGCAGGCCCGGAACGCAGUGGAGUUGCUGGUGUGGCUGGAUCAAGGCACCAUCCCCACCAUCCACCACGUCCCUGGCAUUGAAGCCGGCGUUGUGGGCAUCGUCGUGGCGGAGACCAACGCCGUCCUCGAGUGCUUGCGCUACCCGAAGCCCGUGCUCCCGCCCAUCCCGCUCAUCUCCGUGCUGUGCAUGCCGGGCGGCGUCUGCAUCGAGCCAAGGUUCUUCGCCUUGCACCAGGAAAUAGUUGUCCGUGGCGUUGCCCACUUCCUCGACGGUGCCGGCAAGUUCGUCUUCGACGAUUGCCUCCAGGUCUUGCUGAGGAAGUCGGAGAGCGGCCUGGUGGGUAACCCGCCGGAGCUCAUGGCGCCCUACAGCCCCCUGCUAGUGGACGUGCCCGAGGACUGCCACUCCAUGUUCAUCACCUUCUCCAAGGGCAUGCCUCUCCUCCACGAGGAGAUCUUCGACUACUUCAGGCAGAAAUGGGGUGACUGCAUGGUGAGGGUGCUCAUGGAGAAGAAGACAGGGGGCAGCAUACCCAUGUAUGGCCGGAUCAUUUUCAAGACAGAGGCGGUAGUGCAGCUGGUGCUCAACGGCGAGAGGCUCAUCAAGAUCUCCAUUGACCAACGUCAGAUCUGGCUGCGCAAGUACAUCCCCAAGCCAACCAACGCU
This 768-nucleotide ribosomal RNA is filed under the name Triticum aestivum (bread wheat). Its description in RNAcentral is "partial small subunit ribosomal RNA". Lineage: Eukaryota; Viridiplantae; Streptophyta; Magnoliopsida; Poales; Poaceae. The record is from RNAcentral.